GUGGGGAAUCUUGCGCAAUGGGCGAAAGCCUGACGCAGCCAUGCCGCGUGAAUGAUGAAGGUCUUAGGAUUGUAAAAUUCUUUCACCGGGGACGAUAAUGACGGUACCCGGAGAAGAAGCUCCGGCUAACUUCGUGCCGGCAGCCGCGGUAAUACGAAGGGGGCUAGCGUUGCUCGGAAUUACUGGGCGUAAAGGGCGCGUAGGCGGACAGCUUAGUCAGAGGUGAAAGCCCAGGGCUCAACCUUGGAAUUGCCUUUGAUACUGGCUGUCUUGAGUUUGGGAGAGGUGAGUGGAACUCCGAGUGUAGAGGUGAAAUUCGUAGAUAUUCGGAAGAACACCAGUGGCGAAGGCGACUCACUGGCCCAAUACUGACGCUGAGGCGCGAAAGCGUGGGGAGCAAACAGGAUUAGAAACCCGUGUAGUCC
This 425-nucleotide ribosomal RNA is filed under the name uncultured bacterium. RNAcentral describes it as "partial 16S ribosomal RNA". It matches the Rfam family "Bacterial small subunit ribosomal RNA", at positions 354 to 796 of the family's 1533-position model. The record is from RNAcentral.